RNAcentral lists this ribosomal RNA (278 nucleotides) under Glomeromycota sp. RNAcentral's name for it is "partial small subunit ribosomal RNA". It matches the Rfam family "Eukaryotic small subunit ribosomal RNA", at positions 569 to 845 of the family's 1831-position model. The record is from RNAcentral. Lineage: Eukaryota; Fungi; Glomeromycota.
AGCAGCCGCGGUAAUUCCAGCUCCAAUAGCGUAUAUUAAAGUUGUUGCAGUUAAAAAGCUCGUAGUUGAAUUUCGGGAUUGACAUGUUGGUCGUGCCUUAAGGGGUAUGAACUGGCAUUGUCGAUUUCUCACCUUCUGGAGAAUCACGAUGCUCUUAAUUGGGUGUCGUGUGGAUCCAGGACCUUUACCUUGAAAAAAUUAGAGUGUUUAAAGCAGGCAUUUUGCUCGAAUACAUUAGCAUGGAAUAAUAAAAUAGGACGGCUUGGUUCUAUUUUGUU